RNAcentral lists this ribosomal RNA (253 nucleotides) under uncultured bacterium. RNAcentral describes it as "partial 16S ribosomal RNA". It matches the Rfam family "Bacterial small subunit ribosomal RNA", at positions 524 to 776 of the family's 1533-position model. The record is from RNAcentral.
GACAGAGGGUGCAAACGUUGUUCGGAAUUACUGGGCGUAAAGCGCGUGUAGGCGGCCAUGCAAGUCGGAUGUGAAAGCCCUCGGCUCAACCGGGGAAGUGCACUCGAAACUGCAAGGCUAGAGUCUCGGAGAGGAUCGUGGAAUUCUCGGUGUAGAGGUGAAAUUCGUAGAUAUCGAGAGGAACACCGGUGGCGAAGGCGGCGAUCUGGACGAUGACUGACGCUGAGACGCGAAAGCGUGGGGAGCGAACCGG